CUGUGAUCGACCCUUUUGUUCAGUAUCUUCAUUCAUGAUCUGGAGAAUGAAGUAGAUUGCACCCUUGGCAAGUUUGUAGAGGACACUAAACUGGGAGGAGUGUUAGAUAUGCUGGAGGGUAGGGAUAGGAUACAGAGGGACCUAGACAAAUUAGAGAAUUGGGCAAAAAGAAGUCUGAUGAGGUUCAACAAGGACA
Long non-coding RNA from Dermochelys coriacea (leatherback sea turtle), 196 nucleotides. RefSeq lists it as uncharacterized. NCBI's taxonomy places the organism in Eukaryota, Metazoa, Chordata, Testudines, Dermochelyidae. The record is from RefSeq and is a predicted model, not a curated record. The transcript is spliced from 3 exons.